CAACCCAUCAAGCUUCUGCUUGGUCUUGGGGCCUGCGGUUUCGCAGCCUCUAAACUCAGUGGCGGUGCUAUUGAGCUCUGAGCGUAGUAAUUUUUUCUCGCUAUAGGGUCUCGGUGGUGACUUGCCAGCAACCCCCAAUUUUUAUCAGG
This 149-nucleotide unclassified non-coding RNA is filed under the name uncultured Gyoerffyella. RNAcentral describes it as "sequence contains ITS2". The record is from RNAcentral. Lineage: Eukaryota; Fungi; Ascomycota.